GGAAAACACCGCAUACGAAAGGACGGAGAGAGGGGGCGCCUUCGGAGACCGCUAGACGGCACUGGCGAUCGACUUGGCAACGAAACACUUAGAGGCUGCGCGCCAUGGAGGUGUACCGCCGCAUCGCUGAGCGCGUGCGCGGCGCACUCUGGGCGCAUCACCGGCGCCUCAUGCCCGAGCGGCAGUUUCACCGUAUUCUUGCCUACGUGUACAACAACAAGUACGAGUACCAGAUCCGGUUUGACCGCAUGUCCGUCGUAGGCCGGGCGUGGGCUGGCCGCGUCGAGGUGAUGACGACGCCGGGAGGCUUUCUCAAGCGAGUCCGCGUCCACCCCGCCGUCGAGGACCUGUCGCCAGCCCAGCAGCACAAACUCGUGCUCGCUGCGUAUGCCGACGCUUGUCAGCAGGGCCGCGCGCUCAUGGAGCAGGCAGAGCUGAAGGUGUACAAGCAGUUCUUGAAGGACCUGAAGCCGAUCAUCUUCGGCAUUCGCGAUAACCCCGAGUUCUACACAGUCCCGGAGGACUCGAUGGAGACGAUAGGCGGCGUGCUUCGCCGCGACCAGGCGUCGCUCGACGGCGGCGCCGCGGCCAAUGGUGCCGGCGCUGUGCACCGCACCAUCCCGAUGGCCAGGGCACACCAACCCGUCGACGAGGUCCGCCGCCGCCACGCCUGGGAGGACCAGUGGCUUGCAAGCAAGCAGGGCCAGCGCUGGGCUCACAGCCUGCGCGGCAAAGAGUACUUCACACGGCACGGCCCGCAGUACCGGCCGCGUGGUGCGCCUGGCGCGAAGACGCGGACGCUUCCGUUCGAGCUGCUGGCCCCGUACACGCCGAUGGAUGAGGGCCGCCUGCUGAGAAAGAACUGGGUGGCGUACAUGGAUAGCAAGCACGUCGCCGAGUCGCUCUGGACGCGCGCAAAGGUUGCCGAUCGCGAGAAGCAGCUGCGGCAGCUGCAGGAGCGGGGCCAGGCGUGGCAUCGCCCCAUCAACGAGGACGCCGUGCAGCGCUGGUAGCCGAUAUGGGUAUUUGUUUGCGUCUCGCACUUGGGCGUCCGUUGCAUACCGUGUUGUUGUGUCGGCUCUGGAGUAAGAAGGAAAGGGUGAGUGGUGGAGCAUCUCUCUCUCUUGGCCUGUCUGCUUCAUUUUCCUUCGUGCGUUGUGUGUGUGUGUGUGUGUGUGCCGGAGGGGCGAAGGUGCGCUGUGCGCGUAGCGGCUUGGCGUGGAUGUGCCGUUCGCCGUUUUGUUUUGCGUGCGUGCGCGCCGCUCACGGAGGCGCACGGCAGCGGCCACGCGCAAACUCGAAACGAAUCAACGAAAAGGAGCGACUGCAGCGCACACUGCGUUUUCGAUGGCCAUCGAGCGUGCGUGACAAGAUGCGUGCACGCCACCAUCUCUGUCUUGCUUUCCCUCUCCGCCUCUCUCUCUUCCCUUCUGCAGCGCUUUCCACGUGCCUUGCUGGGAGAGGUGGGCAGUGGGGGUGGGUGCGGUGCAGUCUCACCUCCUCACCCCUCCGCACUCCUCUCCCUUUUGACAGCCCCGCCGUCCGCUUUUUCCAUUGUUCUACCACCUCUUGCUCGCUCGCUCGUGUGUGCGUGUGCGUGUGCGUGUACUUCACGCCUGCGUCUCUUGCCCUCCCUUGCGCCCAUCCUGCAG
This 1652-nucleotide unclassified non-coding RNA is filed under the name Leishmania donovani. RNAcentral describes it as "gene:LdHU3.22.1090(CDS-product:hypothetical_prote in_conserved)". Lineage: Eukaryota; Euglenozoa; Kinetoplastea; Trypanosomatida; Trypanosomatidae. The record is from RNAcentral.